RNAcentral lists this long non-coding RNA (1473 nucleotides) under Cricetulus griseus (Chinese hamster). RNAcentral's name for it is "lncRNA (ENSCGRG00015029380.1)". The record is from RNAcentral. Lineage: Eukaryota; Metazoa; Chordata; Mammalia; Rodentia; Cricetidae.
GGUGACAGCCGGCGCUGGGACCCUGCGGCUCGAGCGCCCCCUGCCGCCCGCCCGCACCCGCUCGCCCUCCCGCCCGCACCCGCUCGCCCGCCAGCCCGCACCCGCUCGCCCGCCCGCCCGCACCCGCUCAGCCCCGGUUUGGAAAGCAGCCGGCGGCGUCGCCGCAAAGCCAAGCGACGCCUCUGCGCCCCAGACACAGUCCGCAGAGCGGCGUCCUCGUCGGUCCCUGGCCCUCGAACAUUCUCCGCCGCCCCGGCCUGAGCCAGGGACCGCCGAGGUUCUCCACAGGCCGAGCUAACUUCCCACCCCAGGAACAGAGCUCGCUCUGCUGCCCCCGGUGGCGGCCGGCCGCCACCUUACCCUCGGCUUCUUCGACAAUCGGCGACGGCCGGUUGAGAACUACAUUUCCCAUCAGGCCCUUCUCAACACCGCGAUCGUGCCCGCGAGACUCGGGUGGGAAGACCGCGCGCAGGCGCAGCCUCGCCCUUUCCGAGCUCGGCCGCCGCGUGUGCGGGAGUCAUGGCCGCGAGGCUCCGUCGUGCGCCCACGGGCAGGGCUGGGCCUUGGGUGUCGGCGUGCCCCUGGCAAAGCAUCAGGUUAAUGGCAGGAUCCCCAGGCGUAAAGGGACCCGCGUGGCCGCCCAGUGAGAAGGCGGAGAAGGACGGCGGGCAUCUGCGUGCACUGUUCUCAGGUUCCCCAAUGAGCGAGCGUUGAGCCAUGAGUCCCUUUCGAUUGGAGUUGGCUCCUGGAGACACCAUGAGAUGCUGUGUGUGGUGCAGGCCAAGUCUGGGGCAGAAAGGGAUGCUGUGGCAGCCUGCAGGAGUCAGGAAUGUAAGGCUUAUGCCAUCAGUGCUUAGUGACUCUGUCCUUGCCACCACAGCAGUCCUGACAUUUUGGGGAAAGAAGGCGCAGCGACUCUGGCAGCCUCAGUACAGAGUUACUGCCCUAAAGUGCCCUGCUGCUGCUGACUUUAAUCUCCCAGAGAGAAUGUCAUCAAAGGACCUUGGAGUUUGAUCUGCAGAAGUAGCCAAGAAGUCAAGUGACUCUGUCAUCCUGGGAAGCCUCUGGCAGCUAGCAGUUGGAGGCACUGGGGAGGCAGGUGCUGCGCCUAGAAAAGCAUUUCUCAGUGGAUUUCCUGGGAAGUUCAUGUUGGGCUUUGUGAUUUGAAGCACAAAUAAACCUUAUUAGAUUUAACUCACUAACAUUGUGGAUGUGAGAUUGAGGCUUUUCUAACACUGAAGGGUGUUCUAGAAUAACACUUGAACUUGACUGCAGAAAACUAAAGACAUUUCUACUGACCUGUUAAAAAAUUUACUUUGGCUGGGCGUUGGUGGCGCAUGCCUUUAAUACCAGCACUCGGGAGGCAGAGGCAGGUGGAUUUCUGUGACUUCGAGGCCAGCCUGUUCUCCAGAGCAAGUGCCAGGAUAGGCUCCAAAGCUACACAGAGAAACCCUGCCUGGAACCACCCCCCCC